UAAGGAAUAUUGGUCAAUGGACGCAAGUCUGAACCAGCCAUGCCGCGUGAAGGAUGAAGGUCCUCUGGAUUGUAAACUUCUUUUAUCUGGGACGAAAACGGGAUUUUUAUCUCAAUUGACGGUACCAGAGGAAUAAGCACCGGCUAACUCCGUGCCAGCAGCCGCGGUAAUACGGAGGGUGCGAGCGUUCUCCGGAUUUACUGGGUUUAAAGGGUGCGUAGGUGGGCUUAUAAGUCAGUGGUGAAAUCUCCGAGCUUAACUUGGAAACUGCCGUUGNUACUAUAGGUCUUGAAUUAUCUGGAGGUAAGCGGAAUAUGUCAUGUAGCGGUGAAAUGCUUAGAUAUGACAUAGAACACCAAUUGCGAAGGCAGCUUACUACAUAUAAAUUGACGCUGAGGCACGAAAGCGUGGGGAUCAAACA
RNAcentral lists this ribosomal RNA (421 nucleotides) under uncultured bacterium. Its description in RNAcentral is "bacterial SSU rRNA". It matches the Rfam family "Bacterial small subunit ribosomal RNA", at positions 355 to 774 of the family's 1533-position model. The record is from RNAcentral.